AAUGGSGAAAGCCUGACGGAGCAAUACCGCGUGAGGAAGACUGCNUAGGGUNGUANCCUCUUUUNUCAGGGAGGAAUCAAUGACGUGUACCUGAAGAAUAAGCAUCGGCUAACUCCGUGCCAGCAGCCGCGGUAAGACGGAGGAUGCAAGUGUUAUCCGGAAUCACUGGGCGUAAAGCGUCUGUAGGUGGUUUAAUAAGUCAACUGUUAAAUCUUGAGGCUCAACUUCAAAAUCGCAGUCGAAACUAUUAGACUAGAGUAUAGUAGAGGUAAAGGGAAUUUCCAGUGGAGCGGUGAAAUGCGUAGAUAUUGGAAAGAACACCGAUGGCGAAAGCACUUUACUGGGCUAUUACUAACACUCAGAGACGAAAGCUAGGGUAGCAAAUGGGAUUAGAUACCCCAGUAGUCCUAGCCGUAAACAAUGGAUACUAGAUGUUGAACAGAUCGACCUGUGCAGUAUCAAAGCUAACGCG
Molecule: ribosomal RNA, 472 nt
Filed under: uncultured bacterium
Lineage: Bacteria
Description: bacterial SSU rRNA
Rfam family: Bacterial small subunit ribosomal RNA
Source: RNAcentral